GACCGCUACGGUGACCUGGUGGUUAGAGCGUCCGCCUCGGAAGCGGGAGGUCGCGGGUUCUAUUCCCGGCUGAGUCG
This is a non-coding RNA of Potamilus streckersoni, 77 nucleotides long. The record is from the annotation of a GenBank genome assembly. Lineage: Eukaryota; Metazoa; Mollusca; Bivalvia; Unionida; Unionidae.